This 198-nucleotide ribosomal RNA is filed under the name uncultured bacterium. RNAcentral describes it as "partial 16S ribosomal RNA". It matches the Rfam family "Bacterial small subunit ribosomal RNA", at positions 328 to 539 of the family's 1533-position model. The record is from RNAcentral.
ACGCUCGACACCUACUGGAGGCAGCAGUGGGGAAUAUUGCACAAUGGGGGAAACCCUGAUGCAGCGACGCCGCGUGGAGGAAGAAGGUCUUCGGAUUGUAAACUCCUGUUGUUGGGGAAAAAGAGGAUGGUACCCAACAAGGAAGUGACGGCUAACUACGUGCCAGUAGCCGCGGUAAUCUGAGCGGGCUGGCAAGGC